Molecule: ribosomal RNA, 305 nt
Filed under: uncultured bacterium
Lineage: Bacteria
Description: bacterial SSU rRNA
Rfam family: Bacterial small subunit ribosomal RNA
Source: RNAcentral
GUCCCUACGGGGGGCAGCAGUGGGGAAUAUUGCACGAUGGGCGAAAGCCUGAUGCAGCAACGCCGCGUGAACGAAGAAGGCUCUUGGGUCGUAAAGUUCUGUUCUGAGGGAAGAAGAAAGUGACGGUACCUCAGGAGAAAGCCCCGGCUAACUACGUGCCAGCAGCCGCGGUAAUACGUAGGGGGCAAGCGUUAUCCGGAUUUACUGGGUGUAAAGGGAGCGUAGACGGCGCGGCAAGUCUGAAGUGAAAGGCAGGGGCUUAACCCCUGAACUGCUUUGGAAACUGCCAUGCUAGAGUGCUGGAG